Molecule: unclassified non-coding RNA, 288 nt
Filed under: Chaetomiaceae sp.
Lineage: Eukaryota; Fungi; Ascomycota; Sordariomycetes; Sordariales; Chaetomiaceae
Description: partial contains 5.8S ribosomal RNA, internal transcribed spacer 2, and large subunit ribosomal RNA
Rfam family: 5.8S ribosomal RNA (bases 1-71)
Source: RNAcentral
GUGAAUCAUCGAAUCUUUGAACGCACAUUGCGCCCGCCAGUAUUCUGGCGGGCAUGCCUGUUCGAGCGUCAUUUCAACCAUCAAGCCCCGGGCUUGUGUUGGGGACCUGCGGCUGCCGCAGGCCCUGAAAACCAGUGGCGGGCUCGCUAGUCACUCCGAGCGUAGUAGUUUACACCUCGCUCAGGGCGUGCUGCGGGUUCCGGCCGUUAAAAGCCUUAUUUUACCCAAGGUUGACCUCGGAUCAGGUAGGAAGACCCGCUGAACUUAAGCAUAUCAAUAAGCGGAGGA